AGUGAACGCUGGCGGUAGGCCUAACACAUGCAAGUCGAACGGCAGCACAGUAAGAGCUUGCUCUUACGGGUGGCGAGUGGCGGACGGGUGAGGAACACAUCGGAAUCUACUUUUUCGUGGGGGAUAACGUAGGGAAACUUACGCUAAUACCGCAUACGACCUACGGGUGAAAGCAGGGGAUCUUCGGACCUUGCGCGAUUGAAUGAGCCGAUGUCGGAUUAGCUAGUUGGCGGGGUAAAGGCCCACCAAGGCGACGAUCCGUAGCUGGUCUGAGAGGAUGAUCAGCCACACUGGAACUUAGACACGGUCCAGACUCCUACGGGAGGCAGCAGUGGGGAAUAUUGGACAAUGGGCGCAAGCCUGAUCCAGCCAUACCGCGUGGGUGAAGAAGGCCUUCGGGUUGUAAAGCCCUUUUGUUGGGAAAGAAAAGCAGCAGGUUAAUACCCCGCUGUUCUGACGGUACCCAAAGAAUAAGCACCGGCUAACUUCGUG
This 492-nucleotide ribosomal RNA is filed under the name uncultured bacterium. RNAcentral describes it as "partial 16S ribosomal RNA". It matches the Rfam family "Bacterial small subunit ribosomal RNA", at positions 29 to 507 of the family's 1533-position model. The record is from RNAcentral.